CUCUUUCUCAGGACCUCGGAUUCCACCUCCGCGUCCGUGACGGCCUGCUGCUCGUACGCCAGCUAGAUCUUCAAUUGCUGCAACUCAGCCGUCCUCUCCCCGAGGGCGACAGAAAGUCCUUCGACAGUUCCCCUUAGGGACUGGAGUUCGUUGGAAUCCCGAGAAGAAGCGAGCUGAGCCCUAUCUGCUAGCUGCCUUUGAAGACGGGUG
RNAcentral lists this long non-coding RNA (210 nucleotides) under Elaeis guineensis (African oil palm). Its description in RNAcentral is "long non-coding RNA (EGUI_LNC064922)". Lineage: Eukaryota; Viridiplantae; Streptophyta; Magnoliopsida; Arecales; Arecaceae. The record is from RNAcentral.